This 498-nucleotide ribosomal RNA is filed under the name uncultured bacterium. RNAcentral's name for it is "bacterial SSU rRNA". It matches the Rfam family "Bacterial small subunit ribosomal RNA", at positions 28 to 507 of the family's 1533-position model. The record is from RNAcentral.
GGCUAACGCUGGCGGCGUGUCUUAGCCAUGCAAGUCGAGCGGACUUAUGGGGUAACUUAUAAGUCAGCGGCGGACGGCGGAGUAACACGUAGCUAACCUACCCUCUGGACGGGGAUAACCUACCGAAAGGUGGGCUAAUACCCGAUGUAGUCAUCCUGUAUAGGGGUGAUGAAAGGUGGGCUUCUGUUUACAAGCUCAUGCUGGAGGAGGGGGCUGCGGCCUAUCAGGUAGUUGGUAGGGUAAUAGCCUACCAAGCCGAUGACGGGUAGCCGGCCUGAGAGGGUGACCGGCCCGAGGGGCACUGAGAUACGGGUCCCACUCCUACGGGAGGCAGCAGGCUAGAAAUUUGGGCAAUGGGGGAAACCCUGACCCAGUGACGCCGCGUGCAGGAAGGAGCCCUUCGGGGUGUAAACUGCUGUCGUGUAGGGGAAGGGUACUAAGGUGAACAAUCUUAGUACUUUGACGGUACUACAGGAGGAAGCCCAGGCUAACCUCGUG